This 253-nucleotide ribosomal RNA is filed under the name uncultured bacterium. Its description in RNAcentral is "partial 16S ribosomal RNA". It matches the Rfam family "Bacterial small subunit ribosomal RNA", at positions 524 to 776 of the family's 1533-position model. The record is from RNAcentral.
UACGUAGGGGGCGAGCGUUAUCCGGAUUCACUGGGUGUAAAGGGAGCGUAGACGGCCAUGCAAGCCAGGGGUGAAAGCCCGGGGCCCAACCCCGGGACUGCCCUUGGAACUGCAUGGCUGGGGUGCGGGAGGGGCAGGCGGAAUUCCUGGUGUAGCGGUGAAAUGCGUAGAUAUCAGGAGGAACACCGGCGGCGAAGGCGGCCUGCUGGACCGCGACUGACGUUGAGGCUCGAAAGCGUGGGGAGCGAACAGG